ACGCUGGCGGCGUGCCUAAUACAUGCAAGUAGAACGCUGAAGGGAGGAGCUUGCUCUUCUUGAAUGAGUUGCGAACGGGUGAGUAACGCGUAGGUAACCUGCCUUAUAGCGGGGGAUAACUAUUGGAAACGAUAGCUAAUACCGCAUAACAGUGGGUGACACAUGUCAUUUAUUUGAAAGGGGCAAUUGCUCCACUACAAGAUGGACCUGCGUUGUAUUAGCUAGUAGGUGAGGUAACGGCUCACCUAGGCGACGAUACAUAGCCGACCUGAGAGGGUGAUCGGCCACACUGGGACUGAGACACGGCCCUGACUCCUACGGGAGGCAGCAGUAGGGAAUCUUCGGCAAUGGGGGCAACCCUGACCGAGCAACGCCGCGUGAGUGAAGAAGGUUUUCGGAUCGUAAAGCUCUGUUGUAAGUCAAGAACGAGUGUGAGAGUGGAAAGUUCACACUGUGACGGUAGCUUACCAGAAAGGGACGGCUAACUACGUGCCAGCAGCCGCGGUAAUACGUAGGUCCCGAGCGUUGUCCGGAUUUAUUGGGCGUAAAGCGAGCGCAGGCGGUUUGAUAAGUCUGAAGUUAAAGGCUGUGGCUCAACCAUAGUUCGCUUUGGAAACUGUCAAACUUGAGUGCAGAAGGGGAGAGUGGAAUUCCAUGUGUAGCGGUGAAAUGCGUAGAUAUAUGGAGGAACACCGGUGGCGAAAGCGGCUCUCUGGUCUGUAACUGACGCUGAGGCUCGAGAGCGUGGGGAGCGAACAGGAUUAGAUACCCUGGUAGUCCACGCCGUAAACGAUGAGUGCUAGGUGUUGGAUCCUUUCCGGGAUUCAGUGCCGCAGCUAACGCAUUAAGCACUCCGCCUGGGGAGUACGACCGCAAGGUUGAAACUCAAAGGAAUUGACGGGGGCCCGCAC
Molecule: ribosomal RNA, 911 nt
Filed under: uncultured bacterium
Lineage: Bacteria
Description: bacterial SSU rRNA
Rfam family: Bacterial small subunit ribosomal RNA
Source: RNAcentral